CAGCAGCCACGGUAAUACGUAGGUGGCAAGCGUUGUCCGGAAUUAUUGGGCGUAAAGCGCGCGCAGGCGGAUAGGUCAGUCUGUCUUAAAAGUUCGGGGCUUAACCCCGUGAUGGGAUGGAAACUGCCAAUCUAGAGUAUCGGAGAGGAAAGUGGAAUUCCUAGUGUAGCGGUGAAAUGCGUAGAUAUUAGGAAGAACACCAGUGGCGAAGGCGACUUUCUGGACGAAAACUGACGCUGAGGCGCGAAAGCCAGGGGAGCGAACGGGAUUAGAUACCCGUGUAGUCCCUGUCUCUUAUACA
RNAcentral lists this ribosomal RNA (301 nucleotides) under uncultured bacterium. RNAcentral's name for it is "partial 16S ribosomal RNA". It matches the Rfam family "Bacterial small subunit ribosomal RNA", at positions 509 to 809 of the family's 1533-position model. The record is from RNAcentral.